This 642-nucleotide ribosomal RNA is filed under the name Triticum aestivum (bread wheat). RNAcentral's name for it is "partial small subunit ribosomal RNA". Lineage: Eukaryota; Viridiplantae; Streptophyta; Magnoliopsida; Poales; Poaceae. The record is from RNAcentral.
AUGGUCAUUUUGCAUCCACCCCCCGCCUCCUUUCUUUCCACAUCCAUCCAUCCAUCGAUCCCCUUCCAGAUCCCCCCAUCUCCUCACUGUCUUGCCCGAUCAAGAGAGCCCGCCUCCUCCCUUCCAGACCCAUCGCCGCCGCCGCCUCCCUCCGACGGAGCUCCCCGCCGUUCAUGGCCUCCCCCACGCCCUCCUCCUCUUGCCCCUCCCCUUCCCUCACCAGAAGGGAGAGAAGAACCCGAGGGAGGGAGAUCCAACGCAAUCCAGCCUCGGCCUCGCGCCUCGCCGGAGCAUCUCCACCGUCGACCGAAGUCCCGCAGGAUGCCCGAGGUCCUCCGCUCCGACCCACACCCCGGCGGCCUUGUCGACGUCGCCGCUGAAGUGAGCCACAGCCUCGAUGGAGGUCCGGCUUCCGGAUCCGAGCCGCGGACACCCACCCAUGGAGAAACGAAAAGAUCUUUGUUUCGUUUCGUUUCCGUCUGCUUCAGCUCCUGCUUUGUCGUUCACCCCCGCACGCACAAGCAGCAGGAAGAUGCAGUUCUUCGUCAAGACCUCACGGGGAAGACCAUCACCCUCGAGGUCGAGAGCAGACCAAAAUCCAGGGUCAUGAGGGAAGAUAUACCAUAUAUGUUCACACCUUGA